This 1374-nucleotide unclassified non-coding RNA is filed under the name Hevea brasiliensis (rubber tree). The record is from RNAcentral. Lineage: Eukaryota; Viridiplantae; Streptophyta; Magnoliopsida; Malpighiales; Euphorbiaceae.
GUGGGACUUCAAAUACUUCUUUUUCAAAUACUUCUUUUUUACUUAGUAUUGCGACAUUCACCCACACUUGAAAAAAACUUGACUUCGAGUUAAUUUCUGGACCAAACAAUAAUUGGACGACUAUCUCCUAUACCAUUCUCCUCCUCCACUUGAGAUAAAUUCGACCUCCAAUUUUAAAUUGUUGAAAAAUCAAAAUUUUCAUUGAAAGAUCACAUCAUAUCUUCUUCUUAAAUGGUAUCAAUAAGUUUCGCUUGAAUAAAAUUGAUUUAAGCAAUUUUGCAUCGGCCUUAGCAUGUUUAGACUCACUUGGACAAAUAAAAUCAACAAAAACAUGAGGGAAAUUAUUAUAGAAAAUUUAAAUUUUCAUUGAAAUCUCUUUGGCUUGAUGUUUUUCUUUCCCCAUAGUACUCUUUUCAAAUUCUUCAUUGUCCACCAUGGCAAAAAGUAUUGCAAAAGUGUCAAAUUCAAAUUCAAGAUGAUCCCUUUGUUCUACAAAAUCUUUUAAUGAUUUGUUUUCAAUCUUUUGUAUGAACAUUGAGCUCCUCAUUAAGCAUGUUGAUUCAUCUUGUUCACAAUCUUCCUCUUCAUCCUUUCCAUCAGGUCCACAAUAGAUUUCAUCAUCAUGUUUUUCAACAAUGUUGACAGAUUUCCUCUUUGGACAUUCAUUAGACUUGUGCCCCAUCUUAUUGCACCUAUAGCAUUUGACUGGAACGGGUUUAGCAUGGGGAUUAUUGGUCUUUGGAGAGUUAGAACUGCUGGCUUUAUUGUUGACAUUUGCAGGAUUCUUGGCUAUCUUCACAUUACCACUCAAAGAAACAUCUUAUGAGGUUUCCUCCUUUUUAGUUCUAGCUUGGUGGUCAUCUUUAUCAUAUGCAGGAUAAUAAAUUUGGCGAGUUUUCUCCUGUAACAUCAUCUCAGCUUUCAAGGCUAAGUCCCUUGCUUCUUGCACGCUCAUAACCAUCUGAAUUUUAAUUUUAUUACGAAUUGAAGGUUUUAAUCCCCUCAAAUAUCGUGCUGUAAUUCAGCGGUAUAUUCGUUGACACUCCCUUAUAUGCAAUUUUGGUAAGUUUUAAAUAAAUAUUGUUCAUAAUCUAGAGGUAAAAAUUUACCCCUUAAUAAUUGUUGCAUUCUCCCCCAUGUGGUGGCUGGAUUGCGCUCUUCUUGCCUCCUUGUCUCUUUCAAUUGAUCCUAUCAUACGGAAGCUUUUAAUUUAUAAUCCACCAAUUUUACCUUUCGUUCCUUUGAAAUUUCAGCAUACUCGAAGAAAUGAUCCACAUUAGUCAACCAAUCAAGAGAACUUUUAAUGUCAAUAUCUCCACUAAAGGUAGGGAUAUCUAUCUUCAAUUUGAAAUAUUCAUCUUCAAUUUGAACUCA